CAGGUCUCUUAAAAGUUCAAUAAAGAAUGUUCUCAAGUGCUAACUUGUGAAUCAGAUGUAGAGGCCAACUGAACAAUUGUGUACUUCCAAGAAGACUGGUGAAUUCAGUUUCCAAGACCGGAUGAUUUCUCAAGAGCGUAAAACGGAAAGUUUGUCUCCAUUUUGCUUCUAUAAUCAAGACAGGAGAUGAGGUUUACAGGAACUGCGCUAUUAAAGGUUGUUAAAACCUAAAACUAUCGGUUUGGAAACUUAAGGUUGGUUCAACUGAGCAUCGAAGGUGGUUUUGAUAUGGGUAAGCGUGGGGCCUAUACUUGCAGUGUAUUAUGAAAUGUAAAGCUUAAAUACACUAAUUUUGAAGCUAAAUGGGCCUAGACUUGCAGUGUAUUAUGAUAUGUAAAGCUUAAUUAAUUACACUAAUAAAACUAAAUAUAAAAAUAUAAACUUUCUUGCUAUCACCAUUGACCGUAAAUACAAGGUUGUAAGGUGAGUGUAAAGUAGAAUUUAAGGUAUUUACUUUGACAAAGGUUUUGAACUACUAGUUCUAAAAUGGUUCAAAAUUUUGAAUUGAAAGUGUCUCCACAAUGGUACUUAUUACGUGGUCGUAGAUGCGUAUAAAGUAAUUUUAGUUUAAGGUAUUUAAUGUGACCAGGGUUUAGAAAUGUAGGUUCUGAAAUUGUUUAAAAUUUUGAAUAGUCUGUCCGCAUAAGACCAAGAGUUGAGGAUUUGUUUGUGAUAAGUCUUAUUUUAAUUUACUAAAUACUUUUAUUUUUGGUCUUUCAAGCCACUUUUAAACCUGCUAAUCUAAAGGUCGUGAUAUAGUAGUUAAUGUUACAAUUCUAGGGAUAAUAACCCAAAUUUACAUAUUGAAAUCUGUAAAGGGGCUAAAACUAGUCCUGUAGGGUAUGGGAAGUUCAAUUUUCUAAAACUUAUUUUAAGAAAAUUAAAUUGUUACAGUGGUUUGCUAUUGAAUCUACCAAGGUGCACUAACCAAUGUUAAAGAUAUAGAAGCGAGCGAGUUCUCUUGACAAAACAUAAAAUACAAAACUGUCUUCAGCAAUUCACAAUUUAAACAAACUUUC
Macrobrachium nipponense is the source of this 1079-nucleotide long non-coding RNA. RefSeq lists it as uncharacterized. Lineage: Eukaryota; Metazoa; Arthropoda; Malacostraca; Decapoda; Palaemonidae. The transcript has 3 exons. The record is from RefSeq and is a predicted model, not a curated record.